RNAcentral lists this ribosomal RNA (497 nucleotides) under uncultured bacterium. RNAcentral describes it as "partial 16S ribosomal RNA". It matches the Rfam family "Bacterial small subunit ribosomal RNA", at positions 28 to 507 of the family's 1533-position model. The record is from RNAcentral.
GAUGAACGCUGGCGGCGUGCCUAAUACAUGCAAGUCGAGCGAACAGACGAGGAGCUUGCUCCUCUGACGUUAGCGGCGGACGGGUGAGUAACACGUGGAUAACCUACCUAUAAGACUGGGAUAACUUCGGGAAACCGGAGCUAAUACCGGAUAAUAUAUUGAACCGCAUGGUUCAAUAGUGAAAGACGGUUUUGCUGUCACUUAUAGAUGGAUCCGCGCCGCAUUAGCUAGUUGGUAAGGUAACAGCUUACCAAGGCAACGAUGCGUAGCCGACCUGAGAGGGUGAUCGGCCACACUGGAACUGAGACACGGUCCAGACUCCUACGGGAGGCAGCAGUAGGGAAUCUUCCGCAAAGGGCGAAAGCCUGACGGAGCAACGCCGCGUGAGUGAUGAAGGUCUUCGGAUCAUAAAACUCUGUUAUUAGGGAAGAACAAAUGUGUAAGUAACUAUGCACGUCUUGACGGUACCUAAUCAGAAAGCCACGGCUAACUACGUG